Long non-coding RNA from Ctenopharyngodon idella (grass carp), 1801 nucleotides. RefSeq lists it as uncharacterized. The transcript is spliced from 8 exons. The record is from RefSeq and is a predicted model, not a curated record. NCBI's taxonomy places the organism in Eukaryota, Metazoa, Chordata, Actinopteri, Cypriniformes, Xenocyprididae.
GUCAUUUUUCGUAUCUCUGGACCAGUAGGUGGCACUGCGCCGAAACGCAGCACAUAACCUCAGGUCAUGCUUGUGACAUGACAUGGACCAAGUUUGGUCUGAAUACGAUAAAGCGUCAAUUUUCACAAGCGCUACGCACGUUUUUCGAAAACAGUUUGACAAAUCAACUUGAAUUCCACAACAUUUUGUCGGUAUGAUCUGAAGAUGACCUGAUUCAAUUUUUGUAGCAACGUCCUAGGAGGAGUUUCUACAAUGGCGGGAAAAGUUCUAAUUCAAAAUGGCGGGAAAAGUUUGUUUCUAGCCCUUACGGUUCAAAAGUUAUUAGCAUAAAUGUAAGUGCAGGUUUGGACAGUUGGUGGCGCUAGAGUGAUUGAGUUAGAGACUCCAAAUUUGCUAUGAUGACAGUUCAGACUGGCCUCUAUAAGUGUGCCAAAUUGUAUAACUUUCCCGCAGGCAGUUAUGGGCUGCAAUAGACUUCCAGUGCAGAAGAAGAACGGUAACGGUUAUAAUAGGUGCCUACACACCUUCAGUGCUUAAAUAUACAGUGUAUAUAUACAGUAUAGUAUUACUAUUCUAUUCUGUUUGAUCCUGUUUUGCUGUGUUUGAGUCUGCAGCUGUCACAGAGACUCUCAGGACAUCUGUUUGAGUGAUAUCUGUCAGCUCUUGUGCAUGUUUGUGGUUUCAGCAGUGACCUCGUGACCCCUGGCGUGACCUGUCUGCUCCACUGUGUGUUUCCACGAUCACUCACCUGGAAGUGAGAGCAGCCGUCGGCAGCACAGAGGGACGAUGCCCAGCUCGCAGCAGAGGACUGACUUUUGAUGUGAUCCGCGGAGCCAGAGCUUGGGUUCAGGGAAACAUUUGUCUGCAAUCGUUUCCAGAUCUGAAAGUAAAGAUAAUUAAACACCUUUCAAACCAGAUGAAUGUGCUAUAGAACAUCAGGGUUCAGCUCAUAUUCACUGCAGCCUAUAUGAUCAACGCUUGUGGAGGUCAGAGAAAAGGUGUAAGAAAAUAGGACACUCAUCAGUAUCCGGCCGUUAUCUUUCCAUCUCUGUCUCUCCAUCUCUGUUUCUCUCUAUCUUUAUAAUCUCUCUCCUCAUCUCAUCCCUCGUUCCCAGUGUAACCGUAUUCUCUGUCUCUGCCGUCGGCUGCUUUUCACUCUCAGUAAUUGAGCUGAUGAUUAUGAUGAUGAUAUCUGAUGCGUAUCUCGAUUUCGGGAUGCUAAAUCCAUCCUGUCAGUUCAUUUAGGAUUCACCGAGCUCACUGUUUCCGAUGCUGUCAAGGAGAGAAGCACGAAUAACUCCGGUUUGCAGGAUUCACAGAGCUCAUUAUAUCCAUGCUGUCGAAGAGAAAAGCACAUUUGCAGGAUGCAUGUGUCGUUCCACAUAAGACGAGGCACUCGUGCACUCUUCAGAAGCAUUGUUUUCCUCCACUCUUUCUCUCUGGAUGUACAGAAACACAAUAAGAUUUCCCAGAGCUGAAAGAGACACUUUGAUUAAGCUGCUAUCAGCGAGCCGGUCUGUGGCGUGGGAGUCGCUCUGACCCUGAAGCCAGCGAGAAUCAGCCUGAGAGACGCUCACCUGCUCCGGUGUGACGUCUCUACCUUAUCGGCCUGUUCGCUUGCACAGAUAGGACUUUAAUUAACAUCUGCAGUGCACUGUUGGCUUUUUCAUAAAUCAGCUGACAAUUGUAAAAGGGUCAAAAGUUGAAUUUGAAUGGAAAAGAGAGUCAUUCCUGUUAUGCAAAACUGAUUGAACUUUCACUUUAACAAUGGUUUGUUGUAAUUUAAAGUAUAUAUAGUAUA